RNAcentral lists this ribosomal RNA (1552 nucleotides) under Escherichia coli. Its description in RNAcentral is "bacterial SSU rRNA". It matches the Rfam family "Bacterial small subunit ribosomal RNA". Lineage: Bacteria; Pseudomonadati; Pseudomonadota; Gammaproteobacteria; Enterobacterales; Enterobacteriaceae. The record is from RNAcentral.
AAAUUGAAGAGUUUGAUCAUGGCUCAGAUUGAACGCUGGCGGCAGGCCUAACACAUGCAAGUCGAACGGUAACAGAAAGCAGCUUGCUGCUUUGCUGACGAGUGGCGGACGGGUGAGUAAUGUCUGGGAAACUGCCUGAUGGAGGGGGAUAACUACUGGAAACGGUAGCUAAUACCGCAUAAUGUCGCAAGACCAAAGAGGGGGACCUUCGGGCCUCUUGCCAUCGGAUGUGCCCAGAUGGGAUUAGCUAGUAGGUGGGGUAACGGCUCACCUAGGCGACGAUCCCUAGCUGGUCUGAGAGGAUGACCAGCCACACUGGAACUGAGACACGGUCCAGACUCCUACGGGAGGCAGCAGUGGGGAAUAUUGCACAAUGGGCGCAAGCCUGAUGCAGCCAUGCCGCGUGUAUGAAGAAGGCCUUCGGGUUGUAAAGUACUUUCAGCGGGGAGGAAGGGAGUAAAGUUAAUACCUUUGCUCAUUGACGUUACCCGCAGAAGAAGCACCGGCUAACUCCGUGCCAGCAGCCGCGGUAAUACGGAGGGUGCAAGCGUUAAUCGGAAUUACUGGGCGUAAAGCGCACGCAGGCGGUUUGUUAAGUCAGAUGUGAAAUCCCCGGGCUCAACCUGGGAACUGCAUCUGAUACUGGCAAGCUUGAGUCUCGUAGAGGGGGGUAGAAUUCCAGGUGUAGCGGUGAAAUGCGUAGAGAUCUGGAGGAAUACCGGUGGCGAAGGCGGCCCCCUGGACGAAGACUGACGCUCAGGUGCGAAAGCGUGGGGAGCAAACAGGAUUAGAUACCCUGGUAGUCCACGCCGUAAACGAUGUCGACUUGGAGGUUGUGCCCUUGAGGCGUGGCUUCCGGAGCUAACGCGUUAAGUCGACCGCCUGGGGAGUACGGCCGCAAGGUUAAAACUCAAAUGAAUUGACGGGGGCCCGCACAAGCGGUGGAGCAUGUGGUUUAAUUCGAUGCAACGCGAAGAACCUUACCUGGUCUUGACAUCCACAGAACUUUCCAGAGAUGGAUUGGUGCCUUCGGGAACUGUGAGACAGGUGCUGCAUGGCUGUCGUCAGCUCGUGUUGUGAAAUGUUGGGUUAAGUCCCGCAACGAGCGCAACCCUUAUCCUUUGUUGCCAGCGGUCCGGCCGGGAACUCAAAGGAGACUGCCAGUGAUAAACUGGAGGAAGGUGGGGAUGACGUCAAGUCAUCAUGGCCCUUACGACCAGGGCUACACACGUGCUACAAUGGCGCAUACAAAGAGAAGCGACCUCGCGAGAGCAAGCGGACCUCAUAAAGUGCGUCGUAGUCCGGAUUGGAGUCUGCAACUCGACUCCAUGAAGUCGGAAUCGCUAGUAAUCGUGGAUCAGAAUGCCACGGUGAAUACGUUCCCGGGCCUUGUACACACCGCCCGUCACACCAUGGGAGUGGGUUGCAAAAGAAGUAGGUAGCUUAACCUUCGGGAGGGCGCUUACCACUUUGUGAUUCAUGACUGGGGUGAAGUCGUAACAAGGUAACCGUAGGGGAACCUGCGGUUGGAUCACCUCCUUACCUUAAAGAA